RNAcentral lists this transfer RNA (72 nucleotides) under Camelus bactrianus (Bactrian camel). It matches the Rfam family "tRNA". From Rfam's summary of the family: Transfer RNA (tRNA) molecules are approximately 80 nucleotides in length. Their secondary structure includes four short double-helical elements and three loops (D, anti-codon, and T loops). RNAcentral also lists the same sequence under 2 other names. The record is from Rfam by way of RNAcentral. Lineage: Eukaryota; Metazoa; Chordata; Mammalia; Artiodactyla; Camelidae.
GAGGGUAUAGCUCAGAGGUAGAGUGUGUGCUAAGCAGGCACAAGAUCCUGGGUUCAAUUCCCAGUACUUUCA